CGCUAUAAACGUCAUCAACACCGCAGCAUUUCGCCCCGCUGCGUUUGUUGUUGUGUUUGCUGUUGCUUUCCCAAUUCGCCGUCUCUCUCUGCUGCCUUUCUCGCCGUCUCGCCGCACCGCUCAUUCUUUCUGCAGCGGUGUUAAGAGAAGAGGAAGAAGCAGAAGUAAAAUUCAGCCGCCGUGAGCACAUUGCGCUAGUUGUUGGCGCUAUUAAACCCAGAAAUCGGCCGGAUAUCACCUUGAAAAACUAACUAAUCGACAGGUAAUACCGUUACCUACAAUUUGAGAUCAAAACACAACGCUAGACCAACGGCAACCGAGUGAAAAACGUGGCGGAAAAAUCCAUAAAAAAAAUGUGAUUGUUGCUUUUACUAGUUAAACUCUUGGAUGUGAAGAAUCCUUAGGUGCUAAUUUAGUUGAUAAGCGCAAAGUGAAAGAGAGAACGAGAGAGAGACAGCGGGAGAACGGGAGAGAGCGAUACACAGGCAGUACAAUAAUAAUUGAGCUAAAGAGCAGAUUUCCCACUGGGUGGCAACUUUGCAAAGGCAGUGCUCAAAAGUAUGCUACAUUAAAAUGAGGCGAACUUAACAGCAGCAACAACCGAAC
Molecule: long non-coding RNA, 606 nt
Organism: Drosophila serrata
Lineage: Eukaryota; Metazoa; Arthropoda; Insecta; Diptera; Drosophilidae
Gene: E2f1
Source: RefSeq, a predicted model, not a curated record